RNAcentral lists this transfer-messenger RNA (419 nucleotides) under Candidatus Dojkabacteria. RNAcentral's name for it is "UBA9296 sp003518125 Standard tmRNA". It matches the Rfam family "transfer-messenger RNA". From Rfam's summary of the family: Bacterial tmRNA, also known as 10Sa RNA or SsrA, is named for its dual tRNA and mRNA-like properties. Its role is to liberate the mRNA from a stalled ribosome. RNAcentral also lists the same sequence under 2 other names. The record is from RNAcentral.
GGGGACGCUAGGCGUUCGACAGAAGUUUAGAUUCAAUUUGUUUCAAAUCGAGUUCAUCUCGUUAACUGAACACAGAUAAGUGUAACAAAUCGUUUAAACGCUUUUGUAAGUGGUUUAGUUGAUACAGUAAAGGUUGCUUUUGCAGCUCCUGUUUAUGCUUACCAAUUUGCAUAAGUCUAACUUAUUGAUUUAGGUUAGUGUUUUUAUUACUUGCUCCUAUACAGGUUUUAAUAAACAGUCGUUUGUAGGAUAUAGGUAUAUUCUUAAUUUAGAAGAGGGUAUACUUGAAACUAAGUUCUAAGCAUAUAUACUUUUUUGUUAAUCUUUUAGGUAUAUGUGUCUAUACAAGGUUAACUAUGUUUGUAUAGAACGAUUGAUGAUGCUUUUGGACGUGGGUUCAAUUCCCACCGUCUCCACCA